RNAcentral lists this ribosomal RNA (465 nucleotides) under Vreelandella stevensii. RNAcentral describes it as "partial 16S ribosomal RNA". It matches the Rfam family "Bacterial small subunit ribosomal RNA", at positions 338 to 795 of the family's 1533-position model. The record is from RNAcentral. Lineage: Bacteria; Pseudomonadati; Pseudomonadota; Gammaproteobacteria; Oceanospirillales; Halomonadaceae.
CCUACGGGUGGCAGCAGUGGGGAAUAUUGGACAAUGGGGGGAACCCUGAUCCAGCCAUGCCGCGUGUGUGAAGAAGGCCCUCGGGUUGUAAAGCACUUUCAGUGAGGAAGAACGCCUGGUGGUUAAUACCCAUCAGGAAAGACAUCACUCACAGAAGAAGCACCGGCUAACUCCGUGCCAGCAGCCGCGGUAAUACGGAGGGUGCGAGCGUUAAUCGGAAUUACUGGGCGUAAAGCGCGCGUAGGUGGCUUGAUAAGCCGGUUGUGAAAGCCCCGGGCUCAACCUGGGAACGGCAUCCGGAACUGUCAAGCUAGAGUGCAGGAGAGGAAGGUAGAAUUCCCGGUGUAGCGGUGAAAUGCGUAGAGAUCGGGAGGAAUACCAGUGGCGAAGGCGGCCUUUUGGACUGACACUGACACUGAGGUGCGAAAGCGUGGGUAGCAAACAGGAUUAGAUACCCGAGUAGUC